UACGUAGGGUGCAAGCGUUGUCCGGAAUUAUUGGGCGUAAAGAGCUCGUAGGCGGUUUGUUGCGUCGGCUGUGAAAUCCCGAGGCUCAACCUCGGGUCUGCAGUCGAUACGAGCAAACUAGAGUGUUGCAGGGGAGACUGGAAUUCCUGGUGUAGCGGUGAAAUGCGCAGAUAUCAGGAGGAACACCGAUGGCGAAGGCAGGUCUCUGGGCCAUUACUGACAC
RNAcentral lists this ribosomal RNA (223 nucleotides) under uncultured bacterium. RNAcentral describes it as "partial 16S ribosomal RNA". It matches the Rfam family "Bacterial small subunit ribosomal RNA", at positions 524 to 746 of the family's 1533-position model. The record is from RNAcentral.